CCCGUUUGGCCUUAAAAGAAUUGUGAUCCUUUUCCCCAAGAUUUCUUCUAUUUUUUAACACAGGAUAACAACACAAUAAUGAAUAACAUAUACUGAGGUAACCAAAAGCAUAAAUCAAUCAAGGAAAACUACACAAACCAUUUAACAUGGAAUAAGAUAAAAUGACAAUUAAAGAAGGGAAAUGAAUCAUGGUCUUUUAAUCCUAUGGCCCUUUUUACAUGCUCAAUGAUUUUAUAUCUUCCUUUGACUAACAGUCUUUCACCAUCAACUAGAUAUUCUCAUGGACAAAAGCAACAAAUUCGAAACACUUGAGCAAUUCAAACCCUGCUUCUAAUUACGAAGUAAAACCAAGAUAUCAAGACAACAUAACAAUGACCCUUAUUUGAAAAUCUAGAUGCAACUGUGAUAACCAUACAUCAAACUUCAUUCAAAACCUUAUUACAAAAAGUUGUAAUGUCUCUAACACAAUUUCAAAACCAAAAUUACAUAGGCAGACUCCCAAUCACAUUGUAUAUCCACUUGGUUCAAGAAUUCAAUAUUUUUUCCCCUUUAUGAGAUUUUCAACACAAACAGAAGGCGGAUCCUAAAAACGCAGAUGUAACAAUUACAACUUCAUGCUCAAGAAACAAACCUACAUCUAUUGAUGAACACAGUAUAACCAUGGCAGGCAGAAGAGAAUAUAUACAAAUUGACUGAACUUAGAAGCCAAUUACUAAAAAGAAUUUGAUAACUCAUUACAUCAACUUCAACACAUGCAUCUUCAUAUUUAAUUCACACUCCAAGGAUUUAAAAGAGUACCUGUAUACAGCAAAACAAAAGAAAACCAGAAGAAAUGUGUCUAAGAUCAGUUUAUGACAACCAAGAAAUAACGGAGCUCAGCAGCAAAGGAACAACAAUGGUAAUCAACCAAUAACCUCAAUAAUCAGCCAUGUUUCAGCUUUGGAAACCCGAAAAAAUCCCCAGAAAAGUCAACCCAAAACUUUUUGCCAAAGGAAAAUGAAGCUCAAAACUAGAUAGUUUUAUCAGAAAAAGAUUUUUAGUCGUUUCUCUUUUUGGUGAGUCUUAGUCUCUGCCCUAGAAAUGAGGAGAAUGAGCCACUUAUAGCAAGCUUUAGGGCAGCAAAAUUGAUUUUAAACUUUUACUAUUACC
This 1149-nucleotide long non-coding RNA is filed under the name Nicotiana tabacum (common tobacco). RNAcentral describes it as "long non-coding RNA (NTAB_LNC001328)". The record is from RNAcentral. Lineage: Eukaryota; Viridiplantae; Streptophyta; Magnoliopsida; Solanales; Solanaceae.